RNAcentral lists this ribosomal RNA (516 nucleotides) under uncultured bacterium. Its description in RNAcentral is "partial 16S ribosomal RNA". It matches the Rfam family "Bacterial small subunit ribosomal RNA", at positions 28 to 523 of the family's 1533-position model. The record is from RNAcentral.
GACGAACGCUGGCGGCGUGCCUAACACAUGCAAGUCGAACGGAGAAUUCAGCAAUGGAUUCUUAGUGGCGAACGGGUGAGUAACGCGUAGACAACCUGCCUUUUAGAUGGGGACAACACUGCGAAAGUGGUGCUAAUACCGAAUGUUGUAACUUUGCUACAUGGUAAAGUUACUAAAGAUGGCCUCUAUAUAAAAGCUAUCACUAAAAGAUGGGUCUGCGUCUGAUUAGCUAGUUGGUGAGGUAAUGGCUCACCAAGGCGACGAUCAGUAGCCGGUCUGAGAGGAUGAACGGCCACACUGGGACUGAGACACGGCCCAGACUCCUACGGGAGGCAGCAGUGGGGAAUCUUCCGCAAUGGACGAAAGUCUGACGGAGCAACGCCGCGUGAGUGAAGAAGGUUUUCGGAUCGUAAAGCUCUGUCUUCAGGGACGAACGUGUAGAUCGUAGAUAAUGAUUUAUAAUGACGGUACCUGAGGAGGAAGCCACGGCUAACUACGUGCCAGCCGCCGCAGUAA